GAUGAAGAACGCAGCGAAAUGCGAUAAGUAAUGUGAAUUGCAGAAUUCAGUGAAUCAUCGAAUCUUUGAACGCACAUUGCGCCCCCUGGUAUUCCGGGGGGCAUGCCUGUUCGAGCGUCAUUUCACCACUCAAGCCUCGCUUGGUAUUGGGCAACGCGGUCCGCCGCGUGCCUCAAAUCGACCGGCUGGGUCUUCUGUCCCCUAAGCGUUGUGGAAACUAUUCGCUAAAGGGUGUUCGGGAGGCUACGCCGUAAAACAACCCCAUGUCUAAGGUUGACCUCGGAUCAGGUAGGGAUACCCGCUGAACUUAAGCAUAUCAAUAAGCGGAGGA
RNAcentral lists this unclassified non-coding RNA (331 nucleotides) under soil metagenome. RNAcentral describes it as "partial contains 5.8S ribosomal RNA, internal transcribed spacer 2, and large subunit ribosomal RNA". The stretch from base 1 to 120 matches the Rfam family "5.8S ribosomal RNA", at positions 35 to 154 of the family's 154-position model. The record is from RNAcentral.